GACGAACGCUGGCGGCGUGCUUAACACAUGCAAGUCGAACGAGAACGCCCGGCCUUGUUGGGUUCGGGUAGGUGCGACCGGGUGAGUAGCACGUGAGUACCCUGCCCUUCACUGUGGGAUAACCUCAUGAAACAGGGGCUAAUACCGGAUAAGAGCUCCUGCCUCAUGGUGGGCGUUGGAAAGUUUAGCCGGUUGGUGAUGGACUCGCGGCGCAUCAGAUUGUUGGUGGGGUAGUGUCUGACCAUGGCCUGGACGGGUAGCCGGCCUGAGAGGGGGACCGGACACACUGGGACUGAGAUACGGCACAGCCUCCUACGGGAGGCAGCAGUGGGGAAUAUUGCACAAUGGGCGGAAGCCUGAUGCAGCCACGCAGUGUGGGGGAUGACGGCAUUCGGUUUGUAUACCGCUUUCGUCUGACACGAAGCGAGAGUGACGGUACCGGGAGAAGAAGCACCGGCUAACUACGUG
Molecule: ribosomal RNA, 468 nt
Filed under: uncultured bacterium
Lineage: Bacteria
Description: partial 16S ribosomal RNA
Rfam family: Bacterial small subunit ribosomal RNA
Source: RNAcentral